Molecule: ribosomal RNA, 497 nt
Filed under: uncultured bacterium
Lineage: Bacteria
Description: partial 16S ribosomal RNA
Rfam family: Bacterial small subunit ribosomal RNA
Source: RNAcentral
GAUGAACGCUGGCGGCGUGCCUAAUACAUGCAAGUCGAGCGAACAGACGAGGAGCUUGCUCCUCUGACGUUAGCGGCGGACGGGUGAGUAACACGUGGAUAACCUACCUAUAAGACUGGGAUAACUUCGGGAAACCGGAGCUAAUACCGGAUAAUAUAUUGAACCGCAUGGUUCAAUAGUGAAAGACGGUUUUGCUGUCACUUAUAGAUGGAUCCGCGCCGCAUUAGCUAGUUGGUAAGGUAACGGCUUACCAAGGCAACGAUGCGUAGCCGACCUGGGAGGGGGAUCGGCCACACGGGAACUGAGACACGGUCCAGACUCCUACGGGAGGCAGCAGUAGGGAAUCUUCCGCAAAGGGCGAAAGCCUGACGGAGCAACGCCGCGUGAGUGAUGAAGGUCUUCGGAUCGUAAAACUCUGUUAUUAGGGAAGAACAAAUGUGUAAGUAACUAUGCACGUCUUGACGGUACCUAAUCAGAAAGCCACGGCUAACUACGUG